UAUAAAGCCAAAAGCCCCGUGAACUGACUCAUCACUCUCACCUUCUCGAGCUGCGUUAUCUUCUCAAAUCUAUAACUCUUUCCUAAUUCAUUUGCCAAAUUACAACAAAUUCGUAUUCAACAACUUUUUGAUUCAUGGCGUCGCUUCAAGCUACGGCUUUGACCUCUGCCGUUUGCAAAAACGGCAAUGUUUCUUCUCCGAUUAAGUUCCCGACUACCUCCUUCUUGCCGGCGUUUGAUGUAGUCGUGGCUGGCCGUGGACUUAACAAGGACUUAUCUUCUCGCUACUUGACCAGAGCUACCUUAACAUUUGAUCCUCCGACGACAAAUUCUGAUAAAAUCACGCAGCAACAGAGGAAACAUACUGUUGAUCCUUCUUCUCCUGAUUUCCUUCCUCUUCCUUCUUUUGAACAGUGUUUCCCUAAGAGCACCAAAGAAUUUAGGGAAGUUGUUCACGAAGAAUCUGGUCAUGUGCUUAAAGUUCCUUUCAGAAGAGUGCACUUGUCUGGGGGUGAACCUAGUUUUGAUAAUUAUGAUACUAGUGGUCCUCAAAAUAUCAGUCCACGUAUUGGACUUCCUAAACUGCGUAAAGACUGGGUUGACAGGCGGGAGAAGCUAGGGGCACCAAGAUACACACAAAUGUAUUAUGCGAAGCAGGGAAUAAUCACUGAGGAGAUGCUUUAUUGUGCUGCACGUGAGAAGCUUGACCCAGAGUUUGUGAGGUCAGAGGUUGCUCGUGGACGGGCAAUAAUCCCUUCCAACAAGAAGCACCUAGAGUUAGAGCCAAUGAUAGUUGGAAGAAACUUUUUGGUUAAAGUUAAUGCAAAUAUUGGAAAUUCUGCUGUUGUAAGCUCUAUUGAGGAGGAAGUUUAUAAGGUUCAAUGGGCAACCAUGUGGGGUGCUGACACUGUUAUGGACCUUUCGACAGGUCGCCACAUUCAUGAGACCCGUGAAUGGAUCUUAAGAAACUCUGCUGUACCAGUAGGAACUGUGCCCAUCUAUCAAGCACUUGAAAAAGUUAAUGGAAUUGCUGAAAAUCUUAGCUGGGAAGUCUUCAGAGACACAUUGAUUGAACAAGCAGAGCAGGGUGUAGAUUAUUUCACAAUCCAUGCUGGUGUUUUGCUGCGAUAUAUCCCUUUAACUGCAAAGCGCAUGACAGGAAUUGUUUCUCGCGGGGGAUCAAUUCAUGCAAAAUGGUGCCUAGCCUAUCACAAGGAGAAUUUUGCCUAUGAACACUGGGAUGACAUACUUGAUAUCUGUAAUCAAUACGAUGUGGCCCUCUCAAUUGGUGAUGGACUGAGGCCUGGGUCCAUAUAUGAUGCCAAUGAUACUGCUCAGUUUGCAGAGCUCUUGACCCAAGGGGAACUGACCCGUAGAGCGUGGGAAAAGGAUGUGCAGGUGAUGAAUGAAGGUCCUGGCCAUAUUCCAAUGCACAAAAUUCCUGAGAACAUGCAAAAACAGCUAGAGUGGUGCAAUGAAGCACCUUUCUAUACUCUUGGGCCCCUGACAACUGAUGUUGCUCCUGGCUAUGAUCACAUUACCUCUGCCAUUGGUGCUGCCAAUAUUGGGGCUCUUGGCACUGCACUUCUGUGUUAUGUCACACCAAAGGAACAUCUUGGUUUACCAAACAGGGAUGAUGUGAAGGCUGGAGUUAUUGCAUACAAAAUAGCUGCACACGCAGCUGAUUUAGCCAAGGGUCAUCCUCAUGCUCAAGCCUGGGAUGAUGCUUUAAGCAAGGCCAGAUUUGAGUUUAGAUGGAUGGACCAAUUUGCUUUAUCCUUGGACCCCAUGACUGCGAUGUCAUUCCAUGACGAAACCUUGCCAUCAGAAGGAGCAAAAGUAGCACACUUUUGUUCUAUGUGUGGGCCAAAAUUCUGCUCUAUGAAGAUAACAGAAGAUGUAAGAAAGUAUGCGGAGGAGCAUGGUUAUGGUAAUGCAGAGGAAGCUGUGCAGCAUGGAAUGGAUGCCAUGAGUGCCGAGUUCCUGGCUGCAAAGAAAACCAUUAGUGGAGAACAACAUGGUGAAGUUGGUGGAGAAAUUUACCUGCCAGUUAGUUAUACUAAAUCCACCGAGAGGGGUGUAUGAGUACAAAGAUAUGGUUGAAGAUCCUCAGAACUCCAGCAAUUUGCUGCAUUGUGAAGAAAGGAACAUGAAUCUUUUCUUUCAAGAUAUAGGGGUGCCUGUGUCUGCUUUAGUACUGGCCAUUUGGCUAAAGGAUGGAGCAGUUCAGGCUGAGAAAGUCCCUUUGAACCUGAACAGGAUAAUGCCUGCGUAGGGAGUGUGCAUUUUCUUUUCCCUCUUUUGUGUUCUUGCACAGGGAGAUAGCUUCCUAUGGCUUGGACUAGCUGAUCCGUGUAUGCAGAUUCCCCAUCGUGCCCGGGCUUUAUCGCUUCAGUGGCUUCAAUAUAAUCAUGGUUUGCACUUCUCUAAAAAGCACAGAAAAUUUGCUAAUUCUUGAUCAACCAUUUUCUGAAUUUUAUUUACUCUGUAAGGACAUCAUUCAAACUAGUUAGAUAGUCUAUUAAAUAAAAUGGUGGAUCACAUUUAAUAACAAGUAGUUAUAAAAGUGAAUGUCUUAAGACAAUUAAUUACCAUUUCAAAAAGCAUGACAUGGCUUAUGUGAAAGGAGAAAAGUUUGACACUCAUGCUAUGUCUAGUUUGCCGGAAUGGAACGUACUCUAAUGUAAUAAAAAAGCACUUUUAGCGGGGAAAAAAAAAUGUCUAUGCUUACAUAAUCUCA
This is an RNA transcript of Jatropha curcas, 2739 nucleotides long. It is a transcript of the gene named thiaminC, with no coding region annotated. The record is from RefSeq and is a predicted model, not a curated record. NCBI's taxonomy places the organism in Eukaryota, Viridiplantae, Streptophyta, Magnoliopsida, Malpighiales, Euphorbiaceae.